AACGAACGCUGGCGGCAGGCCUAACACAUGCAAGUCGAACGCUCUAGCAAUAGAGAGUGGCGCACGGGUGCGUAACGCGUGGGAAUAUGCCCUUGACUACGGAACAACGUCGGGAAACUGACGCUAAUACCGUAUAAUGUCUUCGGACCAAAGAUUUAUCGGUCAAGGAUUAGCCCGCGUCUGAUUAGCUAGUUGGUGAGGUAACGGCUCACCAAGGCGACGAUCAGUAGCUGGUCUGAGAGGAUGAUCAGCCACACUGGGACUGAGACACGGCCCAGGCUCCUACGGGAGGGAGCAGUGAGGAAUAUUGGAAAAUGGAGACAACUCUGAUCCAGCCAUGCCGCGUGAGUGACGAAGGCCUUCGGGUUGUAAAGCUCUUUCAGAUGCGAAGAUAAUGACGGUAACAUCAGAAGAAGCCCCGGCUAAAUUCGUGCCAGCCGCCGCGGUAA
Molecule: ribosomal RNA, 449 nt
Filed under: uncultured bacterium
Lineage: Bacteria
Description: partial 16S ribosomal RNA
Rfam family: Bacterial small subunit ribosomal RNA
Source: RNAcentral